GUUUCCGUAGGUGAACCUGCGGAAGGAUCAUUACCGAGUGUAGGGUUCCUAGCGAGCCCAACCUCCCACCCGUGUUUACUGUACCUUAGUUGCUUCGGCGGGCCCGCCAUUCAUGGCCGCCGGGGGCUCUCAGCCCCGGGCCCGCGCCCGCCGGAGACACCACGAACUCUGUCUGAUCUAGUGAAGUCUGAGUUGAUUGUAUCGCAAUCAGUUAAAACUUUCAACAAUGGAUCUCUUGGUUCCGGCAUCGAUGAAGAACGCAGCGAAAUGCGAUAACUAGUGUGAAUUGCAGAAUUCCGUGAAUCAUCGAGUCUUUGAACGCACAUUGCGCCCCCUGGUAUUCCGGGGGGCAUGCCUGUCCGAGCGUCAUUGCUGCCCAUCAAGCACGGCUUGUGUGUUGGGUCGUCGUCCCCUCUCCGGGGGGGACGGGCCCCAAAGGCAGCGGCGGCACCGCGUCCGAUCCUCGAGCGUAUGGGGCUUUGUCACCCGCUCUGUAGGCCCGGCCGGCGCUUGCCGAACGCAAAUCAAUCUUUUUCCAGGUUGACCUCGGAUCAGGUAGGGAUACCCGCUGAACUUAAG
This 579-nucleotide ribosomal RNA is filed under the name Aspergillus flavus. RNAcentral's name for it is "eukaryotic LSU rRNA". The stretch from base 216 to 369 matches the Rfam family "5.8S ribosomal RNA". The record is from RNAcentral. Lineage: Eukaryota; Fungi; Ascomycota; Eurotiomycetes; Eurotiales; Aspergillaceae.